GGCCGCCUGGCGAAAUGGCAUCGCGUCUGACUACGAGUUGUUAUCAGGAGAUUGCAGGUUCGACCCCUGCGGUGGUCA
Molecule: transfer RNA, 78 nt
Filed under: Lentinula aff. boryana
Lineage: Eukaryota; Fungi; Basidiomycota; Agaricomycetes; Agaricales; Omphalotaceae
Also listed under: 1 other name
Description: tRNA-Arg
Rfam family: tRNA
About the family: Transfer RNA (tRNA) molecules are approximately 80 nucleotides in length.
Source: RNAcentral